CCUACGGGUUGCACCAGUGGGGAAUAUUGCACAAUGGGCGCAAGCCUGAUGCAGCCAUGCCGCGUGUAUGAAGAAGGCCUUCGGGUUGUAAAGUACUUUCAGCGGGGAGGAAGGUGUUGUGGUUAAUAACCGCAGCAAUUGACGUUACCCGCAGAAGAAGCACCGGCUAACUCCGUGCCAGCAGCCGCGGUAAUACGGAGGGUGCAAGCGUUAAUCGGAAUUACUGGGCGUAAAGCGCACGCAGGCGGUCUGUCAAGUCGGAUGUGAAAUCCCCGGGCUCAACCUGGGAACUGCAUUCGAAACUGGCAGGCUAGAGUCUUGUAGAGGGGGGUAGAAUUCCAGGUGUAGCGGUGAAAUGCGUAGAGAUCUGGAGGAAUACCGGUGGCGAAGGCGGCCCCUUGGACAAAGACUGACGCUCAGGUGCGAAAGCGUGGGGAGCAAACAGGAUUAGAUACCCCAGUAGUC
Molecule: ribosomal RNA, 465 nt
Filed under: uncultured bacterium
Lineage: Bacteria
Description: bacterial SSU rRNA
Rfam family: Bacterial small subunit ribosomal RNA
Source: RNAcentral